GACGAACGCUGGCGGCGUGCUUAACACAUGCAAGUCGAGCGGUAAGGCCCUUUCGGGGGUACACGAGCGGCGAACGGGUGAGUAACACGUGGGUGACCUGCCCUCAGCUCUGGGAUAAAGCCUGGGAAACCGGGUCUAAUACCGGAUAUGACUCCAUGACGCAUGUUGUGGGGUGGAAAGCCUUGUGCGGCUGAGGAUGGGCCCGCGGCCUAUCAGCUUGUUGGUGGGGUGAUGGCCUACCAAGGCGACGACGGGUAGCCGGCCUGAGAGGGCGACCGGCCACACUGGGACUGAGACACGGCCCAGACUCCUACGGGAGGCAGCAGUGGGGAAUCUUGCGCAAUGGGCGAAAGCCUGACGCAGCGACGCCGCGUGA
This 376-nucleotide ribosomal RNA is filed under the name uncultured bacterium. RNAcentral's name for it is "bacterial SSU rRNA". It matches the Rfam family "Bacterial small subunit ribosomal RNA", at positions 28 to 404 of the family's 1533-position model. The record is from RNAcentral.